This 273-nucleotide long non-coding RNA is filed under the name Mytilus galloprovincialis (Mediterranean mussel). Lineage: Eukaryota; Metazoa; Mollusca; Bivalvia; Mytilida; Mytilidae. The record is from RNAcentral.
GUUGCAUUCCAUAAUUCACAUAUUUGACCUAGAUAUGACAACCGUUCAUAUUGGCUGUUCAAAAACUCCUCCCUCUGAAAAAUCACAGUGCCAGCCGUUUGCUUCUUUACAAACUAAUAAGGGAGGUUCAUGGAAGAGCCUACACAAUCGCUUUACCCUUAUACACAUCAGACAUAGAAAUUACCUUAAUUGUCCUAAUCAGAAUCAAAAUAAUUGAUGCCAGUUAUACUUUAUUGUAGUUUUAAAAUGGGUAGGCACAUAUUCCUGUUAAUU